CUGCUUUACUGGAGAGCGGGCGAGGCGUGCAUGGGGCAUGGGGAGCACAAGAAAACAAAUACCGAGAAAAUGAGUCAUGCAGCUCUUUACUUGAAAGCUCCACGCUCCCCUCUAGCAAUAUUCCAGCUCAAAUCCAGACUAUAAAUCACUACCUGUGUGAACUCAUGGAUUACUCAUUCGUCAUGUGUCCGGCCAAGCCGUGCCAGGCUCUGCUGUUUGAAGUGGUUAACCCCUCGCCGAGGUGGUGGGAGCCAUGGAAGCUGCUUUCAUUGCUCUGCUUGGACAUGAGGGAGCUGCACAGAAAGCCUCAGCCUUGGGUUAAUGUGGGGAAGGCAAAGCAGAACCCUAAUGGGGUGUGACGGGCACUGCUGUGUUGGAGCUGUGCGGUAGUGUCUUUGGAGCACAGACGCUGUGUGUCACAAGGAGCCGAGUCUGGGCACCCAAAACCACUACCAAGCGGCGUUUCUUAACGUUUCCCAUGGAGGCAUGGUCUGGGAAAACUUGAGAACAGCUCCCCACUUCCCUCCUUCCCUGCUGCCCCACAGGCAGGCAAAACACCUAAACUUUUUUUUUUUUUUUUGCAUAAAAAUCUUUGGCCGCUCCUUCCAUCUCUCUAAGAGAAGGGCUGCUCAGGUGAGACUGAGCUGCACAGGUGAAGAUGGUUAAUGCUGCCCAAGAUGUCCUGAAACCAUGAAUCUGGAACUGGGCACAGACAGUCUCCUGUGACAAAUCAUUGCCAGAGCAGAAAAGGGAUGAGGUUUGGAGGAAACACUCCAAAGAA
Long non-coding RNA from Numida meleagris (helmeted guineafowl), 781 nucleotides. RefSeq lists it as uncharacterized. The transcript has 3 exons. The record is from RefSeq and is a predicted model, not a curated record. Lineage: Eukaryota; Metazoa; Chordata; Aves; Galliformes; Numididae.